Fundulus heteroclitus (mummichog) is the source of this 924-nucleotide long non-coding RNA. RefSeq lists it as uncharacterized. Lineage: Eukaryota; Metazoa; Chordata; Actinopteri; Cyprinodontiformes; Fundulidae. The transcript is spliced from 3 exons. The record is from RefSeq and is a predicted model, not a curated record.
AGUCCCCUUGCUCAUAACAAGAGCAUCAGAUCUGUUCAGUGCUGGAAGCGUUUCUGGAGCUGCGGCCUGUUUGACGAGUCAACAAAAGGAAGAGCCCUGCAGAGUGGCAGCAGAAACGAACAAGAGACCUUCUUUGUCCCUCAGUUCUUUUCCAGUCACCUCGUCCUCUAACACAAGCAGCAAAAGCUCAUGGCAGAACAACCCGGAGGGCGGCAAAGCUCCAAGCCCAACUUCAGCUCCUGGUUCUGACUGGGAACCGGACUGGGAGCCCUCCUGUUCCCAGGAGAGGGAAACCCAGCAGUCGUCUUUCAGAGCUCAGGUCUCUAAGAUCGAACAGUUUCUGAACAGUGAGAGGCUGCGUUUACCCAAAAGAUGCCGAACCGACGAAUGAAUGUGUCCUUUUUUUGCUAGACGAAAAAAACCUUUUAAUAAGUUUGUUAAUUUUUAGCAACUUAUGUUUAAAUGUUUCAGACAUUUCCUUGUUAUAAAAAGACACUGUAAGCACAAUUUCGGUUCUAUUUGGAUGAAAGUUUAGUGUAUAGAUAUACAUGAGUUAACUCAUUUCUGCCAUAAAACUUUACACACUAAUUUGAAUGUUUAAGAAAAGCAUGUUUUUACGCUAAACUGCUUAUUUAUUGUUGUCAGAUUUGUGCAGCUGUUUCAGGUGGAAAGCAUUUUUUGUUUAAGUAGAUGUCAAAACUAAUGUUUGGAUAUGGUUUUAUGCUUUUAUGAGUGGGAAUCAAUAUAAAGCUUAGAACUUUGUAUGUCAUUUUCUCUUUUCUAUUCAAGAACAUUCAUAAUACAAUUAUAGCAGUGUUUUUUUGUUUUGUUUUUUUGGUUAUAAAUACCUUUUUACAGGCUUUCUGACAUCAUGAUAUUCAAUAUUUCUUCAAUAUAAUUAAUAUCAUAUUUUUAGUUUUUACU